Molecule: ribosomal RNA, 253 nt
Filed under: uncultured bacterium
Lineage: Bacteria
Description: partial 16S ribosomal RNA
Rfam family: Bacterial small subunit ribosomal RNA
Source: RNAcentral
UACGUAGGGAGCAAGCGUUGUCCGGAAUCAUUGGGCGUAAAGCGCGCGUAGGUGGCCUCAUAAGUCCGCUGUGAAAGUCAAAGGCUCAACCUUUGAAAGCCGGUGGAUACUGUGAGGCUAGAGUACGGAAGAGGCGAGUGGAAUUCCUGGUGUAGCGGUGGAAUGCGCAGAUAUCAGGAGGAACACCAAUAGCGAAGGCAGCUCGCUGGGACGUAACUGACGCUGAGACGCGAAAGCGUGGGGAGCAAACAGG